GUUGUGACUCAGAGGUAGAGCUCUCGCCUAGCACAUGGGGGGCCCUGGGUUCAAUCCUCAGCACCACA
RNAcentral lists this transfer RNA (68 nucleotides) under Marmota monax (woodchuck). RNAcentral's name for it is "tRNA.Ala". Lineage: Eukaryota; Metazoa; Chordata; Mammalia; Rodentia; Sciuridae. The record is from RNAcentral.